CGGAUUAAGGAAACCGGCGCACGGGUGCGUAACGCGUAUGCAACUUGCCCUUAUCAGGAGGAUAGCCCGGGGAAACUCGGAUUAAUACUCCAUAAGAUUUUGAUUGGCAUCAAUUAGGAUUGAAAGAUUUAUUGGAUAAGGAUAGGCAUGCGUCAGAUUAGUUAGUUGGUAGUGUAACGGACUACCAAGGCGAUGAUCUGUAGGGGGCCUGAGAGGGUGAACCCCCACACUGGUACUGAGACACGGACCAGACUCCUACGGGAGGCAGCAGUGAGGAAUAUUGGACAAUGGAGGGAACUCUGAUCCAGCCAUCCCGCGUGCAGGAAGACGGCCCUAUGGGUUGUAAACUGCUUUUGUAUGGGGAUAAAUCUACUUACGUGUAGGUAGUUGAAGGUACCAUACGAAUAAGCAUCGGCUAACUCCGUGCCAGCAGCCGCGGUAAUACGGAGGAUGCAAGCGUUAUCCGGAUUCAUUGGGUUUAAAGGGUCCGUAGGCGGGCUAAUAAGUCAGUGGUGAAAUUUUGUCGCUUAACGAUAAAACUGCCAUUGAUACUGUUAGUCUUGAGUGGUAUUGAAGUAGCUGGAAUGUGUAGUGUAGCGGUGAAAUGCAUAGAUAUUACACAGAACACCGAUUGCGAAGGCAGGUUACUAAGUAUUAACUGACGCUGAAGGACGAAAGCGUGGGGAGCGAACAGGAUUAGAUACCCUGGUAGUCCACGCA
This 720-nucleotide ribosomal RNA is filed under the name Ornithobacterium rhinotracheale. RNAcentral's name for it is "bacterial SSU rRNA". It matches the Rfam family "Bacterial small subunit ribosomal RNA", at positions 82 to 801 of the family's 1533-position model. Lineage: Bacteria; Pseudomonadati; Bacteroidota; Flavobacteriia; Flavobacteriales; Weeksellaceae. The record is from RNAcentral.